CGGGGUGUAGCGCAGCUUGGUAGCGCGCGUCGUUCGGGACGACGAGGUCGGAGGUUCGAAUCCUCUCACCCCGA
RNAcentral lists this transfer RNA (74 nucleotides) under Saprospiraceae bacterium. RNAcentral's name for it is "tRNA-Pro". It matches the Rfam family "tRNA". Rfam says of the family: Transfer RNA (tRNA) molecules are approximately 80 nucleotides in length. The record is from RNAcentral. Lineage: Bacteria; Pseudomonadati; Bacteroidota; Saprospiria; Saprospirales; Saprospiraceae.